AUGAAUGUCAUUUUUGUGACUUUCUCCUUCUAGUGCUAUUUUUGAGACAUAAACUUCAAAAUGUGCUAUUAUUGACAAUUGCCCUUAUUAUUUUUAUGAUUGUUUAUUUUUAUUUUAUAAACUAUAUGAUUAGCUGAAGCUUACUAUAUGCUCUAUCCGAAAAGAGUAGAUCAAUGAUCAUAUCAUACUUUGAUAAUUUCUUCUAGUAUCGCUCGCGUAGGUCAGACGCCAAUUAUCAGGAUCCAAAUACGCCAAUUAUCAGGAUCCAAAUACGCAGUGUGUUGAACAGCUUGGGAGUAUAUCCUUUCUCACGACGGCCCUCGAAAUAGCAUGUAUGGAGAGACUCUUUCAAAUUAAGAAACUCACUAAGCCAUUUUCCAGAUGACCUCAUGUGUGGUUUCAAGAUCAUCAUUGUCCUUUAACACUCUCUCUCUCUCUCGCUCUCCCCAUCCAUGAAGAAAUCAGAGGAGCCUUCUCUUCUUUCUGCAAGUCCUUAGCUAAACCCAAGAAGAUGAUCUAAUCUCCAAUGAUUCUCCUUUUCUUUUGCCUUAGAGCAAAGAGAUGAGAGAAUACAGAUAAAGAGUUGGGAAUGCUGAAAGUAAGAAUGCUUAUGCUCUGGGACAUGACCUGAAUCUUGAAAAAUCACUUGCCUUGUUUCUGCCUGAGGCGUUCUUUGACAAAAUCAUUACGGGCUUUAGUACGAGCUUGCUGAGGAGCAACGUUGAGAUACGACAGAUGCAUUCCAACGGCGAAAAGAGCUGCUCCUGAGGCGAAGAAAGCAACCGUCAUCGCCAGUUUUCUUGGUGAUGAUGGAUAGCAAAACCACAUACUCAAUGCUCUAAUCCAGAUCAGAUGGAACAAUCAAACGCUUCGUUCGCUACAGAGAUUCAAAGGUUUAUCUGUUAGUCAAGUAAUAUAGAACAUGAAUGAGAUGAAAAUGAUCGUGAGAAAGAAAUGGGGAAAGAGGAGAAACUUUCUCCAGAAAACAUUUCAUCAAACAGUUGGUGUGCACUCUGACUCAAUUUUUGUGAAACAGAAACUAAGUGUCAAAGUCGCACGCUUCUUGGAACAAGUUGGGGUAGUAAUGACCAAACUAAGAUCACGGGAAUAACGUAAACUGGUACCUGUUUCUAGUUUUUACCGUUGGAAGGGAAGCACUGAGCUUAUAAACAAACGUACACAAAACAAUAACACUAGAAGACGGUGCUGCCAAUUUGAAGUUUAGUCUAAAUAUGGUUAACUUAACAUCUCAAGCAAUAUGGGGAUGUAGCUCAGAUGGUAGAGCGCUCGCUUAGCAUGCGAGAGGUACGGGGAUCGAUACCCCGCAUCUCCAUUUUUUACUCGUCCUCAUUCUCAUGGGCUUUAUAAUGCUAAAGAUUUUAAACAGUAUUUGUUUUUGUCAAUGGGGCAAUGAGUUUCGUAGAAUGGCCUGCUAAAAGUAUCAUUUUACAAACGUUUGUUACUUACUGUACUCUAUCUACUCUGUUACAAAAAGAAAAAAAAUAUACUCUAUCUACUCUACACUUUCAGUCUUGCAAACUAUUAAAAACUUCUUCUCACUAAACCAAAACUUUAAAACUAGAUUAUGUUGUGAUGUUAAAUUCCUGCAGGUGGGAGAAGACGAUAGCUCAACAGACAAUGAAUAUCAACAAGAUGGAACGAGACAUUGGAGACAAAGGACUUGAAAAACCGUGGCCAUGGGCAUGUCUAAGAUCAAUUACAUGGAUCCUAGAAUCACACUCACACUCGCAGCACAGAUGAAAGUCUAUACAAUACAAUUGUUUCAGGUGAGGUUUACUUAUGCUACAAGGACUAUCGAACUGGGGUUAUGUAUUGGCUGAGUAGCAUCCUUCCAAAGAUUAUUUUAUUUUAUCCAGAAUGAUACACUCACUCCCCGCUGGCAUGACUUUUUUGAGUACAAUGAAGAAUGUUUAAAAAAUGAAUGAGAAACAAGAUUUACCAUAGGGGAAAAAAACGUAUUGUUUGUUCCACACCGAAUUACAAAAGGGGAAACCGAUAAGUUUAACGAAGAUACACCGAAAGAGUAAGGUACUCUAGUUUGAGGAGACGGAGGUUCUUGUUUGAGUAGAGAUGGGUGUCUACUCCACCUCGCUUAGGAUUGGGACAAUGAGAGGCUUCAUCUGCGCAAUGUAAACGAUUGCCCACCUGCCAAUAUGAAGAAAGAAAACGAUGCAGUGAUAUAAGAUAAUGAAUGAAUCUUCUUAAAGAACAUUUGCGCAAGACAGAAAAAAAAGUUAAGACAUUGGUCAGAGACCAAUAGAUAAUGUUCAUGUUGUGGAACUUUCUCAAACACUAAUCCUCCUAAUCCAUCGACUUAAGACAAGUUUCUAACUAGAACUGUUUACAUCAGAAGAAAAUUGGAAGAAGUCUCUAUUGAUGGUUAAUGUUGAUUCAGGUGAGGAGCAAAUCAAACGAGAGAGAGAGAGUUGGAUAAAGGUGAAAGCAAAGGAGUAUGCAAACCAGUGGAUAGCAGCAAGUAAAAGGAAAAAAGAGUGAAUGAAACAUAAUAAACUUACAUCAUCCAACAGCAGACAGUGGCUGUAAUGACCAAGGUAAAAUGCAGCCUGUUCCAUUAAAAAAAAAAAAAAAAAGACUUGAGAGAUCUUUACUCCAACCAAGAAGUAGACAGAGAAAACAGAACACA
Molecule: long non-coding RNA, 2665 nt
Organism: Brassica rapa (field mustard)
Lineage: Eukaryota; Viridiplantae; Streptophyta; Magnoliopsida; Brassicales; Brassicaceae
Source: RefSeq, a predicted model, not a curated record